Molecule: unclassified non-coding RNA, 210 nt
Filed under: uncultured Hygrocybe
Lineage: Eukaryota; Fungi; Basidiomycota; Agaricomycetes; Agaricales; Hygrophoraceae
Description: sequence contains ITS2
Source: RNAcentral
AAAUCAUCAAACUUGACUUGUUUUGCGCGAGUCAAAGCUUGGAAAGUGGAGCGUGCUGGCCUUCCCUUUUAAGAGGUCAGCUCCUCUGAAAUAAAUCAGCAAAGGCUUCUCCUUGCUUCUUGACGUUGAUAACCUAAGUCUGCGUCUUUGAAAGGGGCUCUGGCGGUUUUUGCUUUUAAAUUUUGCAAUUUCUUUUUUGCAAGCUUUGAC